Molecule: RNA transcript, 4873 nt
Organism: Thalassophryne amazonica
Lineage: Eukaryota; Metazoa; Chordata; Actinopteri; Batrachoidiformes; Batrachoididae
Gene: sema5a
Gene name: sema domain, seven thrombospondin repeats (type 1 and type 1-like), transmembrane domain (TM) and short cytoplasmic domain, (semaphorin) 5A
Exons: 23
Source: RefSeq, a predicted model, not a curated record
GCUUCCUCGCACCUGCGUCAGCGCUCUGAGCGGAGGCGCGUGGCGUGCGCGGCGGUGCGGUGUCCGGUUCCACAGCGCGGCACGGAGCGCGUGUUCGGAGCACAGACUCCGUGGCUUCCCCGCAGUGACACGCGGACUUUACGAAGUGAGGAUAUCUGGUGUGUUUUGGCUCGGACGCUCCUCGCGCACGGCUGCGCUCCUCGAUGACCGGGAGUUCGGCGCCUCGCCCGGUUUGUUUCUCCAAUGCUCUUGGUCCCUGAGGCCUGAGGAGAAGUGAGCCAAGCUCAGGCCCCCAUGGGACGCCCUGUUACCCAGCAUGCAGUGCUCCUGCUGCAGUGCCUGCUGGUCCUGCAGCCUGGACGUGUGGCCAGCAGGAGAGGGCCGGUACUGCUGCCCGAAUCUCCAUGUCACAAGAUGGAACAUCCACUCAUCCCCCACUCAGAGAUGGAGCCGUGGAUCUUCAGGUUCAAGGCAGAGGGCACGGUGGAUUACUCCCAGCUGACCUUUGACCCUGGUCAGAAUGAACUCAUCGUCGGCGCCAGGAAUCAUCUCUUCAGGCUCAAUCUGGAGGACCUGACACUGAUCCAGGAGGCUGAGUGGCACUGUGAUGAGUUCACCAAGGGAGCCUGCUUCAGCCGUGGAAAAUCAGAGGAGGAGUGUCAGAACUACAUCAGAGUGCUGCUGGUCAACGGGAACCGGCUGUUCACCUGUGGAACCAACGCCUUCACGCCCAUCUGCACCAACCGGACGUUGACAAAUCUGACGGAGAUCCACGAUCAGAUCAGUGGAAUGGCUCGGUGUCCCUACAACCCCCUCCACAACUCCACCGCCCUCAUCACCUCCAGCGGGGAGCUGUAUGCAGCCACAGCCAUGGACUUCUCUGGGCGAGACCCCGCCAUAUACCGGAGUCUUGGCGGCCUGCCACCCCUUCGCACCGCCCAGUACAACUCCAAGUGGCUGAACGAGCCAAACUUUGUCUCAUCUUAUGAUAUCGGCAACUUUACCUACUUCUUCUUCCGGGAAAAUGCGGUGGAACACGAUUGUGGCCGAACAGUGUUUUCCCGAGCAGGACGCGUCUGUAAGAAUGACAUCGGUGGCCGCUUCCUACUGGAGGACACAUGGACCACCUUCAUGAAGGCUAGAUUGAACUGUUCCAGGCCAGGAGAAAUCCCCUUCAACUACAAUGAGCUGCAGGGCACCUUCUACCUGCCUGAGCUGGAACUGCUCUACGGGAUCUUUACAACCAAUGUGAACAGCAUCGCGGCCUCUGCAGUCUGCGUCUUUAAUCUCAGCGCCAUAGCACAAGUUUUCAACGGGCCCUUCAAGUUUCAGGAGAACUCACGCUCCGCCUGGCUGCCGUACCCAAACCCCAACCCCGACUUCCAGUGCGGAACCAUCGACUCUGGCUCCUACGUGAACCUGACUCAGAGAAACCUGCAGGAUGCUCAGAAGUUUUUGCUGAUGCACGAGGUGGUCCAGCCCGUGGUUCCUGUGCCCUAUUUCAUGGAGGACAAUGUUCGCUUCACUCAUGUGGCGGUGGAUGUGGUGCAGGGGAAGGACACGCUGCUCCACAUUAUCUUUUUGGCCACUGAUUAUGGUACUAUCAGGAAAGUGCUUUCCCCUCUCAAUCAGUCCACGGGGAGCUGCAUGCUGGAGGAGAUCGAGCUCUUCCCGCCCAGAAAGAGACAGCCGAUCCGAAGCCUGCUGAUCCUGCACAGCCGCAGCGAGCUCUAUGUGGGUGUAAGAGACCAGGUCAUCAAGAUCCCGCUCAAGAGGUGUAGCUACCACAAGACCAGAGAAGCGUGUGUGGGGGCCCGGGACCCGUACUGUGGCUGGGAUCUGCUGCUGAAGAAAUGCACCACCCUGGAGGAGAGCGUCAGAAUGAGCCAGUGGGAGCAGAGCAUCACAAAGUGUCCUGUCCGUAAUGUCACAGUCGAUGGCGGCUUUGGUGCCUGGUCGGGCUGGUCGUCUUGUAGCCAUAACGACGGAGGCAGCGCGGGGACCUGUCUGUGUCGGACGCGAGCCUGUGACAGCCCCGCCCCUCAGUGUGGUGGACAGCAGUGCCUCGGUAUCAGCGUCGAGGUCGCCAACUGCUCGAGAAACGGGGCCUGGACUCCCUGGACUUCCUGGUCUCCCUGCAGCACCAGCUGUGGUAUCGGUUUUCAGGUUCGGCAGCGCUCCUGCAGCAACCCGACACCUCGUCACGGUGGGCGAGUCUGUGUGGGCCAGAACCGCGAGGAGAGGUACUGUAACGAACACCUGCCCUGCCCGCCGCACGUGUACUGGUCAGCCUGGUCGUCGUGGGAACGCUGCAAUGUGCCAUGUGGAGGAGGGAUCCAGUCAAGACGUAGAACCUGCGAGAACGGCAACGACUGUCCAGGGUGUGGUCAGGAGUAUCAGUCGUGCAACACCCUGCCCUGUCCUGAAUUGAAGAAGACCACACCGUGGACGCCGUGGACUCCGGUCAACAUCUCUGACAACGGCGGGCACUACGAGCAGCGUUUCCGUUACACCUGCAAGGCUCGCAUCCCGGACCCCAGCCUGCUGGAAGUGGGCCGGCAGAGGAUCGAGAUGAGGUACUGCUCCAGCGACGGAUCCACCGGCUGCUCCACUGACGGCGAGGUGCUUCGUCUGGGGAGGAUCUCGGGCCACAUGGUAAGUGGUGGUUGGUCAUCCUGGAGUUCCUGGUCCCAGUGCAGCCGAGACUGCAGCCGAGGAAUCCGCAGCCGCAAGAGGACCUGCAGUAACCCGGAGCCCAGGUACGGAGGUCAAACCUGCCUGGGACCAGCGCAGGAAUACCAGGAGUGCAACAUCACCCCGUGUCCAGUGGAUGGCAGCUGGUCUUGUUGGUCAUCCUGGUCCAAGUGCUCAGUGACAUGUGGAGGUGGACAUUACAUGAGGACUCGAACCUGCAGCAACCCUCCACCAGCGUACGGUGGAGACAUCUGUCUGGGCCUGCACACUGAGGAGGCGCUGUGCAACACGCAGUCUUGUCCGGAGAGCUGGUCCAGCUGGUCGGAGUGGUCGCACUGCGACCCCAGUGGCGCUCAGCUCCGCGUGCGUCACUGUGAUGUCCUGUUUCCCACCGGAAACCAGUGCUCAGGAAACAGCAGUGAGACCAGACCGUGCACUCCAGACUCCAAUUUUAUACCAGAAGUCUCAAUUGCACGCUCCAGUCAGGACGAGAGGCACUGUGGAGACUUCAACCUGUUCCACAUGAUCGCCGUGGGGCUCAGCAGCUCCAUCCUGGGCUGCCUGGUCACGCUGCUCGUCUACUCGUACUGCCAACGCUACCAGCAGCAGUCACACGACGCCACCGUCAUCCACCCCAUUUCAGCUGCGCCGCUCAACACCAGCAUCACCAACCACAUCAACAAACUGGACAAAUACGACUCCGUGGAAGCCAUCAAGCCAGACGUGUCAGUACUCUUGCCCUUUGAUGACCCUGCCAUGCACCAGCCUCUCUCUGCUAACAAGGGGGUGUCCAUGCGCGGCCUGGAGAUUUUCUACUAACCACUGACCUCAACAACAUCCCGUCUCUCGAUCCCCCCCAACAGCUCUUUGACCCCACUUCUUCCUCUUCCCCAACGUGCCCCUUCCACCUCCCGUGGCACUUCAUGUGUGUGGCAGGCCUUCAACAAAAAUAAUCUGAUUCUGGAGGAACGAAAUAAAUACUUCAACCCACAGCUUUCUGGGAAAACUUACACCAACGCCUUCUUCACCGACCUCAACACCUACGAUGACUAUUAGCUCCGCCCACAGUGGACCCGCCCAUCACACCUUUUCCACUCCUUUUUUUUCCUUUGUGCUUUGUGAUGAGAAUGGUGACACCACACGUGGGUUCGUCCCGCUCUGAAACUUUACGGCAGCUGACACCGUCAGAGGGAACCGCCCAUUUUCUCACAGGUGCCUUGUGGGUACGCACAGAAAACUUGAUUUUUGACAAAUAUCGCAAAGGAAACGGGUUAUCUGCUUUCCUGAUGUGGACAAAAUAAUAAAAAAUAAAAAAAACUGCUCAGAGAGAGAUUGCGGAAAAACGUUCCCGCCUCGAAUGCAGACGUGCAUUUGUAACGAGGAAUUAAACCACAAAGUUUGCAUGACUUCAUCUGGUCUUUUCUCCUUUUGUUUUGCAUGAAUGAUCCACAUUCCAGAGUUUGGGGACUUUAGCAUCCUUUGCUCUCAUCUGCUUAAAGUCAGGAAAAUAAAAGCCGGAAGGUUUUUUUUUCCGAUACGAAGAUCUCUUGUUGGAUCAUCAUCCGCCUGCAGUCUUAGAAUCAGGAGUAGAUGUUAGAAACCUGUCCUCAGGUUUGUCCAAGUUUUAGUUCCCUCAUUACAGACUAUUAUAGCAGCUAGCGGUGGUUGAACUGUCUGUGUAAAAGCUUUUUUGUUUUUUUUUCAUUUUUUGUACAGGACUUUUAUUUUGAAGCUUUGUCUGUAGUUUUUCUAAAUGCAUUUAUGAAAUGUCCCAUGUGUUUAAAGAAUAAAAUGUUUUAUUUUGAAAAGAAAGGUUUAUGUGACAGGAGUCCAGCAGAUUCAGUCUUUCAAACUUUUUUAUAUUUUUUGGUAAAUUGAAACAAACAAACAAAAAAAAGCUGUUUAUGAAUUUUGAUAGUGUUGGAUUUUUUUUCUUUGUUGUCUGAUUUAAACGUGUUUCCAGGAGCAGGAUUGUUGGCGGCGUUCGUUGUACAGUUGAAGUGUAGCCAAAAGUGUCCGCCCGAACCACAGGCGGCGUAAGACGAGAAUUCCUCCUCAGAGUGCGACGUUUCUGUUCGACAUAUAACCAGACGUUAGGUUGUCCAGUGGUUCCGUUGCAGCUAACUCUUUUUACAUGUUUGCUUGUGCUAUUGUGCAUAAAUUAAAAACUGCUUCGUAC